This 914-nucleotide ribosomal RNA is filed under the name uncultured bacterium. RNAcentral describes it as "bacterial SSU rRNA". It matches the Rfam family "Bacterial small subunit ribosomal RNA", at positions 8 to 916 of the family's 1533-position model. The record is from RNAcentral.
AGAGUUUGAUCCUGGCUCAGAUUGAACGCUGGCGGCGUGCUUAACACAUGCAAGUCGAGCGGCAGCGCGGGGGCAACCCUGGCGGCGAGCGGCGAACGGGUGCGUAAUGCAUGGGAAUCUGCCUAGUAGUGGGGAAUAACCCGGCGAAAGCCGGGCUAAUGCCGCAUACGACCUACGGGUGAAAGCGGGGGAUCGCAAGACCUCGCGCUAUUAGAUGAGCCCAUGUCGGAUUAGCUAGUUGGUAGGGUAACGGCCUACCAAGGCGACGAUCCGUAGCUGGUCUGAGAGGAUGAUCAGCCACACUGGGACUGAGACACGGCCCAGACUCCUACGGGAGGCAGCAGUGGGGAAUAUUGGACAAUGGGCGCAAGCCUGAUCCAGCCACGCCGCGUGAGUGAUGAAGGUUUUCGGAUCGUAAAACUCUGUCCUGAGGGAAGAAUAUCCUAGGUUCAAAUAGGUCCUAGGCUUGACGGUACCUCUGGAGGAAGCACCGGCUAACUCCGUGCCAGCAGCCGCGGUAAAACGGAGGGUGCAAACGUUGCUCGGAAUUACUGGGCGUAAAGCGCAUGCAGGCGGACUGUUAAGUUUCGUGUGAAAGCCCUGGGCUCAACCCAGGAAGUGCACGGAAAACUGGCAGACUAGAGUACUGGAGAAGUGGGCGGAAUUCCGGGUGUAGAGGUGAAAUUCGUAGAUAUCCGGAGGAACACCAGCAGCGAAAGCGGCUCACUAGACAGAUACUGACGCUCAGAUGCGAAAGCGUGGGUAGCAAACAGGAUUAGAUACCCUGGUAGUCCACGCCGUAAACGAUGGGCACUAGAUGUCGGAGGUUUGACCCCUUCGGCGUCGUAGCUAACGCGUUAAGUGCCCCGCCUGGGGAGUACGGUCGCAAGAUUAAAACUCAAAGGAAUUGACGG